Molecule: ribosomal RNA, 1273 nt
Filed under: uncultured bacterium
Lineage: Bacteria
Description: bacterial SSU rRNA
Rfam family: Bacterial small subunit ribosomal RNA
Source: RNAcentral
CGCUUUAAGACGAGCCUGCGUCUGAUUAGCUAGUUGGUGAGGUAAUGGCUCACCAAGGCUUCGAUCAGUAGCUGGUCUGAGAGGAUGAUCAGCCACACUGGGACUGAGACACGGCCCAGACUCCUACGGGAGGCAGCAGUGGGGAAUUUUCCGCAAUGGGCGAAAGCCUGACGGAGCAACGCCGCGUGAGGGACGAAGGCCUCUGGGCUGUAAACCUCUUUUCUCAAGGAAGAAGAUAUGACGGUACUUGAGGAAUAAGCCACGGCUAAUUCCGUGCCAGCAGCCGCGGUAAUACGGGAGUGGCAAGCGUUAUCCGGAAUUAUUGGGCGUAAAGCGUCCGCAGGCGGCUUUUCAAGUCUGCUGUUAAAGCGUGGAGCUUAACUCCAUCAUGGCAGUGGAAACUGAAAGGCUUGAGUAUGGUAGGGGCAGAGGGAAUUCCCGGUGUAGCGGUGAAAUGCGUAGAUAUCGGGAAGAACACCAGUGGCGAAGGCGCUCUGCUGGGCCAUUACUGACGCUCAUGGACGAAAGCCAGGGGAGCGAAAGGGAUUAGAUACCCCUGUAGUCCUGGCCGUAAACGAUGAACACUAGGUGUCGGGGGAAUCGACCCCUUCGGUGUCGUAGCUAACGCGUUAAGUGUUCCGCCUGGGGAGUACGCACGCAAGUGUGAAACUCAAAGGAAUUGACGGGGGCCCGCACAAGCGGUGGAGUAUGUGGUUUAAUUCGAUGCAACGCGAAGAACCUUACCAGGGUUUGACAUCCUGCGAACCUCUUAGAAAUUUGAGGGUGCCUUCGGGAAUGCAGUGACAGGUGGUGCAUGGCUGUCGUCAGCUCGUGUCGUGAGAUGUUGGGUUAAGUCCCGCAACGAGCGCAACCCACGUUUUUAGUUGCCAGCAUUUAGUUGGGCACUCUAGAAAGACCGCCGGUGAUAAACCGGAGGAAGGUGUGGAUGACGUCAAGUCAUCAUGCCCCUUACACCCUGGGCUACACACGUACUACAAUGCUACGGACAAAGGGCAGCAAACUCGCGAGAGCUAGCAAAUCCCAUAAACCGUGGCUCAGUUCAGAUCGUAGGCUGCAACUCGCCUACGUGAAGUAGGAAUCGCUAGUAAUCGCAGGUCAGCAUACUGCGGUGAAUACGUUCCCGGGCCUUGUACACACCGCCCGUCACACCAUGGAAGUUGGCCAUGCCCGAAGUCGUUACUCCAACCCUUGUGGAGGAGGACGCCGAAGGUGGGGCUAAUGACUGGGGUGAAGUCGUAACAAGGUAACCGUA